AGUCUACAUAAACAUGAUAUGAAGAAAAUGUAGUCCAUUUCAGAAGAACAGAAUAGCAUACUUUGAGUUGUCCUUAUGUUAGGUCUUGAUCUGGCUAUGCCAUAUGGCUGUGAGCUGCACUAGUUAAUUUAGCAGACAACAUUUGCUUAGAAUUCCGUGGCAUCAUUUUGUAUUAUUUUAUAGUAUGAAGAAUAUAAUUGAACAUAGCUUGCUAAAAUAGAAAGGAUAUAUUCUGCCAACAAUUUCAAAGGAAGUGCAUACAUGCGCACAGCCGGUUAUUUCAAACAUGAACAUAUGCUUUAUUCUGUGUUGAGCGGUUAACAAAGAAACUGGUCCUCCUAUAUGCUUCAUUUAGAGGUAUUUAUGCAACUUUAGUUGUGAUACAAAUGUCGGGCAAUAUGAUUGGAUUUUUAAUACAUUCUAUGGCUGCAUGAUGGGAUUCUAAUGAUGAUUUGAAAAAAGUCGCAAGAUGCACACACUUCAAUGGUGGAAAUUAUCUUCCCCAAACUUGAAACUCAUGCACUGUGUAUAUUAUGCGAGUUAGGUAUCGGUUAUAUAGCAGAUUAAUGUCCUUAAUCUGAAGAAGAAGAAGUUAUUUGGCCACUUUGGUUGUGAUACAAACCUAAUGAAAACAUAUAGGCCUAUGGGCUAGGCUACAUGAGGUGUGAUACUAACCUUAUUAAAACAUAUAGGCCUAUGGGCUAGGCUACAUGAGAUGUGAUACUAACCUUAUUAAAACAUAUAGGCCUAUGGGCUAGGCUACAUGAGGUGUGAUAACCUUAUUAAAACAUAUAGGCCUAUGGGCUAGGCUACAUGAGGUGUGAUACUAACCUUAUUAAAACAUGUAGGCCUAUGGGCUAGGCUACAUGAGGUGUGAUACUAACCUUAUUAAAACAUAUAGGCCUAUGGGCUAGGCUACAUGAGGUGUGAUACUAACCUUAUUAAAACAUGUAGGCCUAUGGGCUAGGCUACAUGAGGUGUGAUACUAACCUUAUUAAAACAUAUAGGCCUAUGGGCUAGGCUACAUGAGAUGUGAUACUAACCUUAUUAAAACAUAUAGGCCUAUGGGCUAGGCUACAUGAGGUGUGAUACUAACCUUAUUAAAACAUAUAGGCCUAUGGGCUAGGCUACAUGAGAUGUGAUACUAACCUUAUUAAAACAUAUAGGCCUAUGGGCUAGGCUACAUGAGGUGUGAUACUAACCUUAUUAAAACAUAUAGGCCUAUGGGCUAGGCUACAUGAGGUGUGAUACUAACCUUAUUAAAACAUGUAGGCCUAUGGGCUAGGCUACAUGAGGUGUGAUACUAACCUUAUUAAAACAUAUAGGCCUAUGGGCUAGGCUACAUGAGAUGUGAUACUAACCUUAUUAAAACAUAUAGGCCUAUGGGCUAGGCUACAUGAGGUGUGAUACUAACCUUAUUAAAACAUAUAGGCCUAUGGGCUAGGCUACAUGAGAUGUGAUACUAACCUUAUUAAAACAUGUAGGCCUAUGGGCUAGGCUACAUGAGGUGUGAUACUAACCUUAUUAAAACAUAUAGGCCUAUGGGCUAGGCUACAUGAGAUGUGAUACUAACCUUAUUAAAACAUAUAGGCCUAUGGGCUAGGCUACAUGAGGUGUGAUA
Long non-coding RNA from Oncorhynchus keta (chum salmon), 1621 nucleotides. RefSeq lists it as uncharacterized. The transcript has 3 exons. NCBI's taxonomy places the organism in Eukaryota, Metazoa, Chordata, Actinopteri, Salmoniformes, Salmonidae. The record is from RefSeq and is a predicted model, not a curated record.